This 253-nucleotide ribosomal RNA is filed under the name uncultured bacterium. RNAcentral describes it as "partial 16S ribosomal RNA". It matches the Rfam family "Bacterial small subunit ribosomal RNA", at positions 524 to 776 of the family's 1533-position model. The record is from RNAcentral.
UACGUAGGGUGCAAGCGUUGUCCGGAAUUAUUGGGCGUAAAGAGCUCGUAGGCGGUUCGUCGCGUCGGCUGUGAAAUCCCGAGGCUCAACCUCGGGUCUGCAGUCGAUACGGGCGGACUGGAGUUCGGCAGGGGAGACUGGAAUUCCUGGUGUAGCGGUGAAAUGCGCAGAUAUCAGGAGGAACACCGGUGGCGAAGGCGGGUCUCUGGGCCGAUACUGACGCUGAGGAGCGAAAGCAUGGGGAGCGAACAGG